GUUUGUUGAUCUUCUUCUUUUUCUUUUUUUGUAAUAAAAACUUAAAUUUUGAUUUUAAAUUGUUAGAGAUGACAUUGACAGUGAAACAAGUCUGCUUUUUGUCUGCUUCUUUCAUCAGUUACUCUACCACCAGUACUUACCUACAUUCCUCAUUUUUGUCUUCAAUUUAGAUGUGCUAGCAGUUUUUCCCUGGCUUUUUUAAAGCUUUUUUUCAUUGACUGCUUCUUUCAGAAAUGCAUCAAACUAGACUGUACCCAGAUCAAAAUCAAGUCUUGAUUAGCUGUUUUUGAAGCAUUUCUUAUGUGGGUUUUUGAGAUAAGAGCCCUUUCUUUACUUAACUUCUAGUUUUGCUUUUUAUUUACUGUUAGUUCAGUUUCUGAGUCUUUUUCUGUUGUGUUAUUUUUAGCUGCAAAAUUUGGGAGCAAGUGUUUGUGAAAAGUCUUAGAGAGAGUUUUGGAGUAGAAAGUUCAGUUCUUUAGUGCAAAAUGAGAGAUUUCCCAUCUUGUUUUGGUGAAAAUGGGGUUCAAGUGGCUGAUUCUUCGUCUUCAAAUACUAGUAAAAAUGCACAGAAUUUGGUUACUUGUGUGUAUCAAUGUCGAAUUCGAGGCCGGUCUUGCUUGAUCACUAUUACAUGGAGUAAGAAUUUGAUGGGUCAAGGUCUAAGUGUAGGGAUUGAUGAUUCUGCAAAUCAUUGUUUAUGUAAGGUUGAUAUUAAACCGUGGUUGUUCUCAAAAAGAAAAGGGUCUAAGAGUUUAGAGGCAUAUUCUUGUAAAAUUGAUAUAUAUUGGGACCUUUCAUCAGCUAAAUUUGGAUCUGGGCCUGAACCAUCAGAGGGAUUUUAUGUUGCUGUUGUUGUGGAUAGGCAAAUGGCUCUCCUUCUUGGGGAUAUGAGAAAAGAAGCUUUCAAGAAAACUGGUGCCACUCCUAUUCCUUCCAAUACUGUUUUUGUUGCAAAAAGAGAGCAUGUUUUUGGCAAGAAAGCGUUCCGUACCAAGGCUCAGUUUUGUGACAAUGGUCAAAUUCAUGAUCUCGUGAUUGAAUGUGACACGAUUGGUGUCAGUGACCCAUGUCUUUUGCUUCGUGUGGACUGUAAGACAGUGAUGCAGGUGAAGCAACUCCGGUGGAAGUUCCGGGGGAACCAUACCAUAUUGGUUGAUGGGCUAGCAGUUGAAUUGUUUUGGGAUGUACAUAAUUGGCUCUUUGGUACAUCAGUUGGAAAUGCUGUUUUUAUGUUCAAGACUUGCUCCUCAGCUGAGAAGUUGUGGGCUAGCCAACCGCUUUCAGAUCCAAAUGGGUUGCCGCGGUCCUUCUCCCAGAGAUUUCUGGAUUCCAGAUCACAAAAUCUUGGUUUUUCAUUGAUUUUGUAUGCUUGGAAGCAUGAAUAGAGGGACUCAGAAAUUCUUAUUUGAGAGCUAACAAAAACAUUACUUUUAGCAUGUCAUGCCUCAGAGACUUUUCACAAUGAAUUCCUCGCCAUGAAUUCAUGGUAUGGGAUAUCUAAACUGUGUCCUGGUUAUUUCAUCAAACGAGGGGCGUCAAAGUUCAAGGGGUCAGUGCAUGUUUUGUAUUCAUGUCAGUUGGCUUGUUAGCUAGAAGGUGAAGAGAGCACUGUGCUAUAAGGUAUUUGACUCGAGUGAUGCUGUUUCUUAUUCUUUGCUCUUAAGGGUGGUGGCAAAGUAGCCCAUUGGCUAUGGGGCACGUACGGUAUCAGACACUCUUUUUUUCAUGCACAGUACUGUUGUGGUCGUUGGUGUUUAAAGUUGAUCCUUUCCUGCCUGUGCUGUGUCCGUAGUUGUGGUCUGUGAAACAAUAUAAAUUGAUGAUCAUACGAGGGGGCUGGUAGUUUGUUUAGAAACAAAUGCCUACUUUUGAUGAAUACACAGCGUAAUCAUUACAUAUAAUUUUGCUUUGGAAUUUGCUAUUA
Molecule: RNA transcript, 1924 nt
Organism: Populus trichocarpa (black cottonwood)
Lineage: Eukaryota; Viridiplantae; Streptophyta; Magnoliopsida; Malpighiales; Salicaceae
Exons: 3
Source: RefSeq, a predicted model, not a curated record